GUUUCAGUUGAGGUUUCACUUCAGUCAUUUACAGGACUCAAGACCAAAAGUUUGGUGUUUUUCCAUUUUUCCAUGCGUGCAGUAAGAACACUUCUAGGAAUCAGAGCAUAAUCCUGUUCAGCUUCUUGGAAAGAAAUGCACAGGACAGUUAUUAAGCUUAAAUUAAAAUGAUAAAUUUGAUUGUGCUUUGAAAACAUUGCACAAAUGGCAGUGAGGUGAUGCAGUAUGCUGGAGGUGUAGAGUUGUGUUUAUUGUGGCACCUUUCUCAUGUAGGAGGCUGUGGUGGUAGCUUUCACUGGUGUCAGAUCUAUGGUGAUCUGCAUCAGCAGUGUUGUAGCGUGUGGAGAGCAAACUUUGCUUUGUCUGGAUGCAGAAACUGCCCUUCUGUUGGCACAGAUGUAGCACACUACGUUAAUUACUGAGUGCCACCAUUUUCAUGGAGCUGUAGAUGCAGGGAGCAUCCGUCCAACUCUUGUAAUAGAGCAAACUGCUGGAGGAAAAAAGUAUUUAUUUGGUAAAUGAGUUUUGAAUUACAACCCAGGGAAGCAGACCUGAUGUUUGAUGAAGCUGCAGCUGUGUGAGCUUCGUAGCUCUGGGUGUAUCAAAUAACUUUCAUCAGCAGUAUGUGGGAUAAAGUUGUACCUGGAGCACAGCCUAUUGCAAGCUGCAUGCUGCUCAGAGAUACCCUGAUCUUCGUAUGGGCUGCCAUGUCAUGUUGGACCAUAUGUAAUUAAUUAAUUUCUUUUUCUCCAACAGUGAUGAGUUGAAAAUACUGAUGCAAAGCAAUAGGUGCCCAUGUACAAUUUAAUGUUUCAUUGUUUUACAGAUGGGGUCGAGGAUUCGGUCUGUUGGGUUCCAUCUUUGGAAAGGACAGUGCAAUAAAUCAGUCCAACAGUGUAUUUGGACUUGUGUUUUAUAUACUACAAAUGCUACUUGGUAUGACAGCAAGUGCAGUAGCAGCUCUAAUCCUCAUGACAUCCUCCAUAGUGUCUGUAGUAGGGUCUUUGUACUUGGCGUACAUUCUGUACUUCGUGCUGAAGGAAUUUUGCAUUGUCUGCGUCAUCACAUAUUUGCUGAACUUCAUUCUCUUUAUCAUCAACUACAAACGACUAGUUUAUUUGAACGAGGCCUGGAAACGGCAACUCCAACCCAAACAGGAGUAGCGCCUGUUCGAACUUGUGACUGA
Molecule: long non-coding RNA, 1186 nt
Filed under: Chrysolophus pictus (golden pheasant)
Lineage: Eukaryota; Metazoa; Chordata; Aves; Galliformes; Phasianidae
Description: lncRNA (ENSCPIG00010003666.1)
Source: RNAcentral